CAGCAGCCGCGGUAAUACGAAGGGGGCUAGCGUUGUUCGGAUUUACUAGGCGUAAAGAGCGCGUAGGCGGGCGAUUAAGUCAGGGGUGAAAUCCCAAGGCUCAACCUUGGAACUGCCUUUGAUACUGAUUGUCUUGAGUUCGAGAGAGGUAAGUGGAACUGCGAGUGUAGAGGUGAAAUUCGUAAAUAUUCGCAAGAACACGAGUGGCGAAGGCGGCUUACUGGCUCGAUACUGACGCUGAGGCGCGAAAGCGUGGGGAGCAAACAGGAUUAGAUACCCGCGUAGUCCCUGUCUCUUAUAA
RNAcentral lists this ribosomal RNA (301 nucleotides) under uncultured bacterium. Its description in RNAcentral is "partial 16S ribosomal RNA". It matches the Rfam family "Bacterial small subunit ribosomal RNA", at positions 509 to 809 of the family's 1533-position model. The record is from RNAcentral.